This 372-nucleotide ribosomal RNA is filed under the name uncultured bacterium. RNAcentral describes it as "bacterial SSU rRNA". It matches the Rfam family "Bacterial small subunit ribosomal RNA", at positions 524 to 898 of the family's 1533-position model. The record is from RNAcentral.
UACGGAGGAUGCGAGCGUUAUCCGGAUUUAUUGGGUUUAAAGGGUGCGUAGGCGGCUUUUUAAGUCAGCGGUGAAAUUUUGCAGCUUAACUGUAACAGUGCCGUUGAUACUGAGGAGCUAGGAUUUGGUUGCUGUGGGUGGAAUGUGUGGUGUAGCGGUGAAAUGCUUAGAGAUCACACAGAAUAUCGAUUGCGAAGGCAGCUCACAAAGCCAAGAUUGACGCUGAGGCACGAAAGUGUGGGGAUCAAACAGGAUUAGAUACCCUGGUAGUCCACACUGUAAACGAUGAUAACUCGCUGUCGGCGAUACACAGUCGGUGGCCAAGCGAAAGCGAUAAGUUAUCCACCUGGGGAGUACGACCGCAAGGUUGAA